This 70-nucleotide transfer RNA is filed under the name Cryptospiza reichenovii (red-faced crimson-wing). RNAcentral describes it as "tRNA-Arg". RNAcentral also lists the same sequence under 2 other names. The record is from RNAcentral. Lineage: Eukaryota; Metazoa; Chordata; Aves; Passeriformes; Estrildidae.
AGAAAGUUAGUCUAACCAAGACAGUUGAUUUCGACUCAACAGAUUAUAGCUACUACCCUAUAACUUUCUU